UGAUGAUAGCUUUGUUGCUUCAAAAAAAAAAAGACUGUGACUCAGGUUUGCUAGCACUCAAAAAGACUUGGACUGAGGGCAGGUCUGAAAAAACUGAAUAUUUACCUGCGUUUUUGCCAAAAGCUGUAGUUUGAGGAUCUUCAAUGAAACCGAAGUUCAGUGAUGUUGUAGCAAUGAUGAUUUGGUUGGUUUCUUCCUAAUCCUUUGCAGGUGAAAAGAAUGUUGUCUUACUGAGCCCUCCCCCAGUUUGCUAUUUCAGUAAUUAUGCCAUUCCCUAGUGUGAGAGUAGGCUGCAAUUUUAAGGACCUCAGAAUUUUGCUACUGGCUCUCAGUGGUGGACUUUGCCAGAAAACUCUGUUGCAACCGGUUGGUAGAUGUCUGGUGCACAGGAGAUCAGAGAGCAACUCUGCAGAUCAUCAUACAUGUGGUACUGAAGAACAAUCUGAGCUAAGAUUUGGGAACCUCACUGAGUGAAUCAGAUGAGCGUGAUGCGAAGAGCCAAGAAAUGGAGAAUCAAAAUAUCUUGGGACAGCAAGGUUUUCAAUUGAGAUCACUACCCUAAUACGCAACGAGCUGCACAGAAGAGGAACAUUGCUAGAAUUCACAUCCUAGCUGCAGAAAAGUGAGCAAAAGACAAAAGCCUUGGCCCUGGUCACAGUCUGGCAAGGUCAUCACCAAAAUAAAGUUCAACUAAACUCACUUGUACA
RNAcentral lists this long non-coding RNA (707 nucleotides) under Manacus vitellinus (golden-collared manakin). RNAcentral's name for it is "lncRNA (ENSMVIG00005003980.1)". Lineage: Eukaryota; Metazoa; Chordata; Aves; Passeriformes; Pipridae. The record is from RNAcentral.